This 92-nucleotide non-coding RNA is filed under the name Paraburkholderia fungorum. Lineage: Bacteria; Pseudomonadati; Pseudomonadota; Betaproteobacteria; Burkholderiales; Burkholderiaceae. The record is from RNAcentral.
GUCAAUGGGCGGACCGUGAGAGGGAAACCUUCGGGUUCGCCGGUUUGGUUCAGCGCCGGAUUUGCAGCCCUGUCAUGCGCCCGCUCACCCUU